UGGGGUAUAGCUCAGUGGUAGAGCAUGUGCUUAGCUUGUGCAAGGUCCUGGGUUUAAUCCUCAGUACCUCUA
RNAcentral lists this transfer RNA (72 nucleotides) under Camelus bactrianus (Bactrian camel). It matches the Rfam family "tRNA". From Rfam's summary of the family: Transfer RNA (tRNA) molecules are approximately 80 nucleotides in length. Lineage: Eukaryota; Metazoa; Chordata; Mammalia; Artiodactyla; Camelidae. RNAcentral also lists the same sequence under 3 other names. The record is from Rfam by way of RNAcentral.